AUACCCCACUAUGCUUUAGCCCUAAACAUUGAUAGUUUUUACACCUACUAUCCGCCUGGGAACUACGAGCAACAGCUUAAAACCCAAAGGACUUGGCGGUGCUUUAGACCCACCUAGAGGAGCCUGUUCUGAAACCGAUAACCCCCGUUCAACCUCACCUUUUCUUGUUCUCCCCGCCUAUAUACCGCCGUCGUCAGCUUACCCUAUGAAGGCCCCUUAGUAAGCACAAUUGGUACAACCCAAAACGUCAGGUCGAGGUGUAGCGUAUGGAAAGGGAAGAAAUGGGCUACAUUCCUUAAUUACAGGGAAUUACGAAAAAUAUUACUGAAACGUGUAUCUAGAAGGAGGAUUUAGCAGUAAGCAGAAAAUAGAGCGUUCCGCUGAAACUGGCCCUGAAGCGCGCACACA
RNAcentral lists this ribosomal RNA (408 nucleotides) under Cephalopholis nigripinnis. Its description in RNAcentral is "partial 12S ribosomal RNA". It matches the Rfam family "Bacterial small subunit ribosomal RNA", at positions 782 to 1389 of the family's 1533-position model. The record is from RNAcentral. Lineage: Eukaryota; Metazoa; Chordata; Actinopteri; Perciformes; Serranidae.